UUGUAUUGGGGUGUAAUAAUGUGAGAGAACAAACUUUACAGUGCUGCUUGUUGCGUGCCUCCGGCCUCCCCCUCUCUUGAGCUCUGACCGCCUCCGGCCUGCCCCGCUGCCGUCGCGGUGUCGCCGCGGUGGGGGACGGCUGUUGGGUCCACGACGGCUUGGCGCUGGUAGCGGGAAGCGACGCCGCCUGACCGGUCGUGGUCGUGGAGGGGCGGAGCUAGGUCGGCCGCGCGCGCCGCCUGGCCGACUGCAGGUGGGGAGCCGCGGCGCUGGGCGGGCUGCAGGAGGGGAGCGAUGGCGCCGGGCCGUCCGCGCGCGCCACCUGGACGGUCAUGCACGAGGAGGGGUUUCUGAAACAUCGCGAUCCGGUUGUUUCGGAUGGCACCACGGGGACCAGUGCUGCCGGUGCUGGUCUGCCGGAGGUUGCUGAUUGAUCCCUAAGAUCGAGUUCGUACUUCGUAGCUACCUAAAGAUAAGUUCUCGUUGAUUUUUCAUUGUUGCCAUCCUGCAGCGCAUCUCAGCGGAGCAUUUCGUUUGCUGUAGUCCGGUAAAGUAUACUUCAGAAGCCAGACUCCUUUUGUUUAUGCAAUAUGAGUUAGAUACAAAAGAGUUCUGCUAACCGAGAGAGCUGGACUUCAGAAUCAGAUGUCCGAGGAUGGAUUCUAUGAACAUAUUACAUUUCUGUAUGUAAGAGUUUCGCCUUUCUUUUAAAUGAUGCUCAGAAUUCUUUAUUCGUUUUCUCGAAAAAGAAUUCUUCAUUCA
Panicum virgatum (switchgrass) is the source of this 762-nucleotide long non-coding RNA. RefSeq lists it as uncharacterized. The transcript is spliced from 2 exons. The record is from RefSeq and is a predicted model, not a curated record. NCBI's taxonomy places the organism in Eukaryota, Viridiplantae, Streptophyta, Magnoliopsida, Poales, Poaceae.